UGCAGAGCGAGUUGUUGUAAAGAUUGCAUGUUCCCGGUGAAGAUUGAUGUUUUGGCCACUGUGUAUGGCGGCAAAGGAGGCGGCCGGCUGUGGAGCUCUGGCGAUACUCGGGCGACUCGCUAGUGACAGAAUGCUCUCCUCGAUUAACUGACACGAUGAUAUAAUUGGUUUCCCAAUCGGUUAUUAGCUUCUUCUUUCAACUACCAUAGGCGCCUCUGGAGCAGCUAGAUCUUUUCUUAUAAAAAGGACCUUUCUUGCCUAUAUGUAGUUAAAGUUUUGCAAUUACUGUAAUCUUUUGGAAUUGUAGAUAAACUUAAAAAUCUGAAUAAAGGAUAUUAGGAAUGUUGCUUGUCCUUGCUCAUAA
This is a long non-coding RNA of Jatropha curcas, 364 nucleotides long. RefSeq lists it as uncharacterized. The record is from RefSeq and is a predicted model, not a curated record. NCBI's taxonomy places the organism in Eukaryota, Viridiplantae, Streptophyta, Magnoliopsida, Malpighiales, Euphorbiaceae.